Molecule: long non-coding RNA, 302 nt
Organism: Topomyia yanbarensis
Lineage: Eukaryota; Metazoa; Arthropoda; Insecta; Diptera; Culicidae
Exons: 3
Source: RefSeq, a predicted model, not a curated record
CUUCACUCUGAUUGAUGGUUGAUUGACGACUUACUAUGUAGCAGAUAUCUCCAACCGAAUCAACAGAGCUAGCAAAGCUUCUUUACUAUAUGGUAUCUCGCACGAAUCAAGACAAUUACAAUAAUGAUGUUUGCUCAACAUCUUUCGGACUUGGGUAGUUAAGUUGCUACCACCAUCCAUCGGACUAAGUUAUUGACGACUGCAUGCAGGAUGGAACUGAUCGGUGAUCGUUGAUUAAGAAAAGUGGCGAGAUUGAUCUUCAUCACUUCAACUGACAAGUGCCCAGAAAGGUACAUGUUGCA